This 136-nucleotide unclassified non-coding RNA is filed under the name uncultured Ascomycota. RNAcentral describes it as "sequence contains ITS1". The record is from RNAcentral. Lineage: Eukaryota; Fungi; Ascomycota.
CCUGGAGUUGUAGGCUUUGCCUGCUAUCUCUUACCCAUGUCUUUUGAGUACCUUCGUUUCCUCGGCGGGUUCGCCCGCCGAUUGGACAAUUUAAACCAUUUGCAGUUGCAAUCAGCGUCUGAAAAACUUAUAGUUA